Molecule: ribosomal RNA, 254 nt
Filed under: uncultured bacterium
Lineage: Bacteria
Description: partial 16S ribosomal RNA
Rfam family: Bacterial small subunit ribosomal RNA
Source: RNAcentral
CACGUAGGGGGCAAGCGUUGUCCGGAUUCAUUGGGCGUAAAGAGCUCGUAGGCGGUUCGAUAAGUCGGGUGUGAAACCUCCAGGCUCAACCUGGAGACGCCACCCGAUACUGUCGUGACUAGAGUCCAGUAGGGGAGCGUGGAAUUCCUGGUGUAGCGGUGAAAUGCGUAGAUAUCAAGAGGAACACCUGAGGUGAAGACGGGUUGCUGGGCUGACACUGACGCUGAGGCGCGAAAGCCAGGGGAGCAAACGGG